RNAcentral lists this microRNA (21 nucleotides) under Oryctolagus cuniculus (rabbit). Its description in RNAcentral is "Ocu-Mir-1247_3p* (star (passenger))". The record is from RNAcentral. Lineage: Eukaryota; Metazoa; Chordata; Mammalia; Lagomorpha; Leporidae. RNAcentral also lists the same sequence under 1 other name.
CGGGAGCGUCGAGACUGGAGC